This 484-nucleotide ribosomal RNA is filed under the name uncultured bacterium. RNAcentral describes it as "partial 16S ribosomal RNA". It matches the Rfam family "Bacterial small subunit ribosomal RNA", at positions 29 to 507 of the family's 1533-position model. The record is from RNAcentral.
AUUGAACGCUGGCGGCAUGCUUUACACAUGCAAGUCGAACGGCAGCGCGGGCUUCGGCCUGGCGGCGAGUGGCGAACGGGUGAGUAAUGCAUCGGAACGUGCCCAGUAGUGGGGGAUAGCCCGGCGAAAGCCGGAUUAAUACCGCAUACGACCUGAUGGUGAAAGCGGGGGACCGAAAGGCCUCGCGCUAUUUGAGCGGCCGAUGUCGGAUUAGCUAGUUGGUGGGGUAAAGGCUUACCAAGGCGACGAUCCGUAGCUGGUCUGAGAGGACGACCAGCCACACUGGAACUGAGACACGGCCCAGACUCCUACGGGAGGCAGCAGUGGGGAAUUUUGGACAAUGGGGGCAACCCUGAUCCAGCCAUGCCGCGUGCGGGAAGAAGGCCUUCGGGUUGUAAAACGCUUUUGUUCGGGAAGAAAUCCUCUGGGCUAAUACCCCGGGGGGAUGACGGUACCGGAAGAAUAAGCACCGGCUAACUACGUG